Triticum aestivum (bread wheat) is the source of this 2110-nucleotide RNA transcript. It is a transcript of the gene named PR5-like receptor kinase, with no coding region annotated. The transcript has 4 exons. NCBI's taxonomy places the organism in Eukaryota, Viridiplantae, Streptophyta, Magnoliopsida, Poales, Poaceae. The record is from RefSeq and is a predicted model, not a curated record.
CCUCCUCACCUCCAUUUAUUUGUAUUGGUACCAUCCACGCAAUAGGUCGCCAGUCGCCACUUCACCAGAACUCCUAUCUUUCCGAUGUCCCCAACCUGCAGCCGCCUAUUGCUGCUUCUGUGCAUAUCUCUCUCUUGUAUCGCAGCCAUUAAACCUGGCGCGCAAGCACAAGAAGGCUGCUCGCCCGAGCGAUGCGGCAACCUGACCAUUUCUUCUCCGUUCGGGCUCGUCUCGGUGUUGGAGGAGAACAGGUGCGCUCAACUUGGUUUCCAGGUCCACUACACCAACGGCACCCCGUACCUUUGGUACUAUGAGCACGGGUUCGGGCUACAGAUCCUCAACAUAUUCUACAGCGACGGUUCCUUGCUCGUCGCCGAUGUCCACAAGCUAGGAGACUUCGAAAGUUCAAGCCAUGAAGGCUGCCAUGUACCGGUGACAAAUACCUCCUCCAAAAUCGGGCAUCCGUUCUCGAUUAGCAACAUGAAUCAGAACAUCAUCUUCUACAACUGCACCAAGGCGCCACCGUUGGAUAUCGUAAGGCGAGCAGGGCUUGUGGAGACGGUAUGCCGCAACAACACCUUUGUCCGCACAGGAGGGCAUUACAGUGAGAGGGACGGCGGCUAUGCUUUAGAGGGAUGCAAUGCUAUCUUCCUUCCGGUACUGGCAGCAUCCGGCGAGGCGAACGCAAGUGAUUAUGAGGGGCUAAUCACCAAUGGCUUCCUCCUGACAUGGCGGCAGCCGCCUGCUGGUAGUGGUAUCAAGGUGAUUAGCAAAAGGAUACUCAUACUAAUAGUUUCAUCAGCGGUUUCAACCUUGCUCUUUCCAUGCAUUUGUGUGAUGAUGAGGCAUCCCAAGGGGAAAAGACUAUGGUCUCGCAGCAAAAGGACUAGCAGCGGCACUGAAAGGAAUUACGAGGUCAUGAUAUUAUCAUAUGGAUCACUAGCCCCCAAAAGGUACACGUACUCAGAGGUAAUGAAGAUAACAUCUUCUCGCAAUCAUGAGCUUGGAAAGGGUGGUUAUGGUGUGGUUUUCAAAGGAAGACUACAUGAUGAUCGACUGGUUGCUGUGAAAUUCUUGCAUGACUGCAAAGGAAAUGGGGAUGAGUUUGUGAAUGAGGUUAUGAGCAUUGGGAGAACCUCUCAUGUUAAUAUUGUUAGCUUAUUUGGGUUUUGUUUGGAGGGAUCAAAACGAGCUCUUAUAUAUGAGUACAUGCCUAAUGGUUCCUUGGAUAGGUAUAUUUACUCAGAGAACCACAAAGAAAUUUUAGGAUGGGAGAGGCUGUAUGCUAUAGCAAUCGGGAUUGCUCGUGGCCUAGAAUACUUGCACCAUAGUUGUAAUACACGGAUCGUUCAUUUUGAUAUCAAGCCUCACAAUAUCCUUCUAGACAGGGAUUUUUGCCCAAAGAUUGCUGAUUUCGGUCUAGCUAAAUUGUGUCAUGCAAAGGAGAGCAAGCUAUCAAUGACAGGUGCUAGAGGAACAAUUGGGUUCAUUGCUCCAGAAGUUCACUCUCGGACAUUUGGAGUUGUUUCAACCAAGUCAGAUGUUUAUAGUUAUGGAAUGAUGUUGUUAGAGAUGGUUGGGGGCAGGAAAAAUGUGAAAUAGGUGGCUGAAAAAUCGAGCGAAGAAUAUUUUCCAGAUUGGAUUUAUGACCACUUUUCUCAAGAUGAUGGACUGCGAGCAUGUGAAGUCACAAGUGAAAUUGAGGAAAUAGCAAAAAGGAUGACCUUCAUUGGCUUGUGGUGCAUACAAGUAGUACCAAAGUUCUAGAAAUGUUUGAAAGAACCUUGGAUGAACUGGACAUGCCACCUAAGCAAAACUUCCAUGGACUACUUGACGACUCAGCACACAAUAUGAGCGUACAAAGUGCAAGUUCUACCAUUUCCGAAGACAAGAUCCUUGCGAAUUCAAAAAACAUUCAAUUGUUGCCAGCUCUUUGAGAAAGCAACAUGCACUUGCUUCAGCAAAGCAAUAAAGUUCAAUGGUGUAUCAAUUAAACAUAUUUCAUUUAUGUACAGACUUGAUUUAAGGCUGGCUCUACCUGAACAAACAAACCCGGAUAAAUGUAUUUUCGAAGUUCCAUUAAUGAAAAGCACUGGUUUAAUUUAGAGGG